CCCGCUGUAGUGUUGCGGUAGCACGGCGAGACGCUUAGAACCCUCAAGUAGGAUCACGUACCUGCUUGGGCCUCACUUCCAUGUGGGCGCAGGGCCGGGUUCGACUCCCGGCUGCGGGG
Aspergillus indologenus CBS 114.80 is the source of this 119-nucleotide non-coding RNA. The record is from the annotation of a GenBank genome assembly. Lineage: Eukaryota; Fungi; Ascomycota; Eurotiomycetes; Eurotiales; Aspergillaceae.